CUUGAGGGGGGGUGUCCCUCAACCUGGAUUGCGAGAGGGUGCUGGUCAGGCCGAGGGACCCCACUGGUGCACA
Myotis davidii is the source of this 73-nucleotide non-coding RNA. Lineage: Eukaryota; Metazoa; Chordata; Mammalia; Chiroptera; Vespertilionidae. The record is from Rfam.